This is an RNA transcript of Dinoponera quadriceps, 4721 nucleotides long. It is a transcript of the gene named fibroblast growth factor receptor homolog 1-like, with no coding region annotated. NCBI's taxonomy places the organism in Eukaryota, Metazoa, Arthropoda, Insecta, Hymenoptera, Formicidae. The record is from RefSeq and is a predicted model, not a curated record. The transcript has 13 exons.
AGCGACGGCUCUCUUCUGGCACUUCGCCCCGAGCUUUCCUCCUCGUGUGCCGGCGCUGCUGCAUAUCCUCCUCUCUCGGGCCGCCCGCCUGAGACUAGUGCAGUCGGAGUAGUCCCGAGUCAGCGUCGUCGCCGCCGCCGCGACGACUCGAGAGAGAGAGAGAGAGUGAGAGCGUAACGAGCACCGCGAGUGGCUGGACGGAAGGAAGGAAGGACUCACCGCGCGCACAUACACGCGGAAGUGUGUGUCUUCGGAGCGGUCUGUUUUGACGAGCAGCUGAGUUUGUUUUUCGAGAAACCGACCGAUCGACCUGCGCAUCGAUUUCGCCGCGCGCGUAAUUUCGAACCACAGUGACACUCGGCAGUGACGUCUCGCGGGGGUGUGCGAUGGUCCUCCAGGUGUCUCGGUGAACGGAGUGCCCCGCGUGCCCGGCGAGGAGAAUUUCCAAUCAAGGAAGAAAGACCGAAGGAGAAAGGAAUAUCGUCGUCGGCGGGAAAUCGCACGAGUCCCGGAGGGAAAAGAGGACUCGUAACGACGCUCCGCCGCCGACCGGCCUGAAAUAACAACGGGAAUACGUGUACAGUGAAUCAGCUCUCGUUCGUCGUUCGUUCGUUCGUAUCGCGAAUUUCCGGCGACUGAAGCUCUCCGUCCGAGCCACCCCUCUUCUUCGUUUCCUCGUCAACCCCGCUCGUUGUUCGGCAGAUUCUGUGUUCGAGGAGAGGAUUCCCGAGAAAGAGAGAGAGAGAGAGAACGGAGACUGAGAAAAGCCAGAAGCGCCACGAAGAAGAGGCGAGGAGGAGGAAGAACUGAGCGAAGAAGGAUCGAGGGGUGUUUUCGGGGCCAAGCCAGAAGGAGUUUUCUCGGAAGGGAGCUCGCGAGAGAGCACGGCGAUAUCCGGCGUAAUGAUCUUCGGCUGGAAGCCGGCUGCCACGAAAUAAUGAGACCGUUCUGCUCCGAGGGAUCCUCGCCUCCCUAAUCUCGAUCGGCCAAUCCGGUAACACAGCACGGCUACCAGAUUUUUCUUUCUAAACGAGGAUCUCCGUGUCCGCGGCUCACCGUGAGAGAUUUUAUCGGUCGGUGCCCGGCGCGCUCGAGAGCUGCCUCAGGAGGAACAAGAGGAUCGUGUCACGAGAGCGUUAUGUCUCUUCCCUUCGACGAAAGCAAUGCGGUGCUUUAGAACCCGAAAACAAAACGGAAGUCUCCGAUGCCGCGAUUACACAUCUAGCCGCCACAUGCCCGGUGUCGAACGAAUCGAAAUGGCGACGUGGUUCUGUCUUAUCCUCCUCGUGCUCCUCGAGGCCCUGGACGCCGGAUUAGCGCGAGUUGCUCGGCUAGAAACGACAAGCAAUCCCGACAUCGUGGUGACCACGGGCGACAAGCUGAGCCUGCGUUGUCUGCCGAAUCUCGACGACGAGACCACGUGGUAUAAGGAUGACAUGGAGCUGCAUCGGUUCGCCCCGAGGAUGCGGCUGACGAAGCAGACGUUGAAGUUCAAGCACAUCGAUGCCACGGACGCGGGUCUCUACGCUUGCAGGCUGCGCUCCCCCGAAGGAGUCGAGUGGCGGAACGUGACCGUCCGCGUGGAAUCGCCGCAGAACGACAGCGUCCAGGGUGGCGAGGGUGAAGAGACGAGCGGCGCGAUCGACGCGCUCAGGCCGGAGGAAGAGACCAACGAUCUGGAGAUCGAAACCAGAAACCUGCCUGAGACGCGGUCGUUGCGGCUGGAAAACGACAAGAUGGACGCGGAGCUGGACAACGAGAGGGGCGAGAACGACACGGCGAGCGAGCAGAACAACACCGCGCCGGAGAGCCCGCCCGCGUUCAACAAGAGCGACGAGAUGCAUCCGGCGGUGGUGAAACCGGCCGGUAACAUGCUGCGACUGAGGUGUCCGAGCGUCGGCAAUCCCAGGCCGAACAUCACCUGGCUGAAGAACAACGAGGAGCCGCGACGGCUCCUCGGCUCGGCCAUUAAGACCAAGUGGACCCUCAGGUUGGAGGAUCUCGUGCCGAAGGACAGCGGGAAUUACACGUGCAUCGUGUGCAAUUACCUUGGAUGCAUCAACCACACCUUCAAAGUCGACAUAAUCGAGACGGUGAUGCACCGGCCGAUCCUGACGAGAGCACCGCGAAAUCAAACGGUUCUUAUCGGCAGCGACACCGAUAUGAUCUGCGAAGUGUUGUCCGAAGCGCAUCGCCAUCUCGAAUGGUAUCACGGUUACCAUACCUCUUUCGACACCCUCAACAUAACCAAUCAGAGCUUACGGGUGGAGGUCAAGACGGAUAAUCCGGAAGUGCUGAAGCUUUGCAACGUUACCGAGAAGGAUGAGGGAUGGUACACGUGCAUCGCCCAGAACGCUCUCGGGGAAACAUUCAGCAGCGCCUAUCUUCGCGUCGUCGAGACGUUGGACGAGCAGCGCGUACCGUUGACCGCGAGACCGCAGAUCCUGGUGAACGUUUUGGCGGCGGUGCUCUGCGUGUUCUUCGCCUUCGGCGUCGUCGUGGUGAUAUAUAUCUUCCACCGGCUGAAACGCGAGAAGAUGAAGAAGCUGCUCGCGAUCGAAACCGCGCGCGCAGCGGUAGUCACGCAAUGGACGAAGAAGGUGAUCGUGGAGAAGCAGAAUCUGGUGAAUGCGCAGAACAUCGACGACUCGCUGCUGAUGCCGGUGGUGAAGAUUGAGAAGCAGAAGUCGACGGUCAUCGCCGAAGACAGUAGCGGUGACAACGUGUCGGAAUACGAAUUGCCGUUGGACAGCGCCUGGGAACUGCCGCGGGAGUAUUUCAUGCUGGGCGAAAUCCUGGGUGAGGGAGCCUUCGGCAAGGUCGUCAAGGCCGAAACGAACACCAGCAGAUCCGGCAUACCCGGCGUCGUCGCUGUAAAAAUGCUGAAAGAGGGUCACACGGACACCGAGAUGAUGGAUCUGGUCUCCGAGAUGGAGAUGAUGAAGAUGAUCGGCAAGCACGUGAACAUCAUCAACCUGUUGGGCGCCUGCACGCAAAACGGCCCGCUCUACGUCGUGGUGGAGUUCGCUCCUCACGGCAACCUGAGGGACUUCCUGCGCAACCACAGACCCUCCUCGGGCUACGAGCCGGCCAUCGGGCAGGAGCCGAAGGAACGGAAAACGCUCACGCAAAAGGACCUGGUCUCCUUCGCCUAUCAAGUGGCACGGGGGAUGGAGUAUCUGGCAAGCAGGAGAUGCAUACACAGGGACCUGGCCGCCAGGAAUGUCCUCGUCAGCGACGAGUACGUGCUGAAGAUCGCCGACUUCGGCCUAGCCAGGGACAUCCACUGCCACGACUACUACAGGAAGACGACGGACGGACGGCUGCCGGUGAAAUGGAUGGCGCCCGAGGCCCUCUUCCACCGCGUUUACACCACUCAGUCCGACGUAUGGUCGUACGGCAUUCUGUUGUGGGAAAUUAUGACGCUGGGCGGCACACCUUAUCCGUCCGUGCCGUCGGUCGAAAGACUAUUCCAGCUACUUAGAACCGGACACCGAAUGGAGAAGCCGCCCUGUUGCUCGAUCGAGAUAUACAUGCUCAUGAGGGAAUGCUGGAGUUAUCAGCCAAACGAGAGGCCGACGUUCGUGGAACUGGUGGAGGAUCUCGACAGAAUAUUGACCAUUACCGCGAACGAGGAAUAUCUGGAUCUUGGCCUGCCUCAAUUGGAUACACCUCCGUCCAGCCAAGAAUCGAGCGCGACGGAGGAGGACGGCGAGGAGAAAUUUCCAUACCUGCUGUGAGGCGUGCAGCUCACCGCGAUUUGACGGAAAGAUUAUCAUGCGGACGCAGGCUAAGCGCGAAGUGAUCCGAGAAUGACUCGCAGACCACGGAGAAACACAUCGGCGUGUACCUGGCGUCUUACCGUGCGGGAACGUGUGAGUCGAAACGCGAAAAACAAACGAGUGAGAUCGCCCGAAAUGGCCACACGUGGAAGACGAUAUCGACUGAAGCAAACUGAACACGCCAAAUAAGAUGAAUCAGUAUUGACCUGUAGCGCGUAUUCCUCAUGUAGAGUUAAGGGAGAGCGCGUUGAUCGUACAGGAGAUUCUAUUAAUGCACUCUCAUUCCCUCUAGGCGUAGUAAUGUUGAAAAUUUUCAAUUUGGAAGCAUCAUUUCUGAAUAUUUCACAUUGUAACUGUGUUCACACAGCGAACAGUCAGUGAUUAUUGGUGUUCUUUGUUAGAUUCUUAAAUUUCGAGCGAUUACGCUGACGAAUUACUUAACCGUUGUGAAUUUUUAUGAUCUGCGUAAUUUUUAUUAUAAAUUUGUAUAAUCGUCCCCAUUUCAUUUAAGAAACAUUUUUCACCUCACUUUCAUCUAAAUCAACCUGAGGUAAACGUUCCGAAAUCAUUUGAGGUAAACACUGGUCAUGAUACACGAAUAUUCAGACGUAAUGCGUUUAAUUGGGAAUUUUUAUGUCACUAUAUUCAGGAAAUAGGACCGCAUUAAUCCUCUUUUGUACACUGAGACGAAAAAAAUAGCAGAGUCAGCGAAAUUUUGCUUACGAACAAACUUUCGUCGAGCACACCGUUUGAAGAGGGUGAUUCGAAAUAAACGUUUGUCUGUUGAAAGGUCGUAUUCCUGAUUGAAUUCUGAGAUAACUUUACAUUGAUGUCGGCUGAUCGUUUAUUUCGCUGAUUCUACUGCUUUUUCUCAACACAGAUCAGCAGAGAGAGAGAGAGAGAGAGAGAGAGAGAGAGAGAGAGAGAAAGAGAGAGAGA